GUGGUUUAAUUCGAAGCAACGCGCAGAACCUUACCAACCCUUGACAUCCCUGUCGCGGUUACCGGAGACGGUUUCCUUCAGUUCGGCUGGACAGGUGACAGGUGCUGCAUGGCUGUCGUCAGCUCGUGUCGUGAGAUGUUCGGUUAAGUCCGGCAACGAGCGCAACCCACAUCUUUAGUUGCCAGCAGGUUAAGCUGGGCACUCUAGGGGGACUGCCUGUGUUAAGCAGGAGGAAGGUGUGGAUGACGUCA
Molecule: ribosomal RNA, 251 nt
Filed under: Pseudo-nitzschia fraudulenta
Lineage: Eukaryota; Bacillariophyta; Bacillariophyceae; Bacillariales; Bacillariaceae
Description: partial Bacterial small subunit ribosomal RNA
Rfam family: Bacterial small subunit ribosomal RNA
Source: RNAcentral